RNAcentral lists this ribosomal RNA (382 nucleotides) under uncultured soil bacterium. Its description in RNAcentral is "bacterial SSU rRNA". It matches the Rfam family "Bacterial small subunit ribosomal RNA", at positions 26 to 410 of the family's 1533-position model. The record is from RNAcentral.
AGAUUGAACGCUGGCGGCGUGCCUAACACAUGCAAGUCGAGCGGCAGCGCGGGAGCAAUCCUGGCGGCGAGCGGCGAACGGGUGAGUAAUGCUUCGGAAUCUGCCCAUGUAGUGGGGAAUAACCAGCCGAAAGGUUGGCUAAUACCGCAUACGACCUACGGGUGAAAGCAGGGGAUCGCAAGACCUUGCGCUAUUGGAUGAGCCGAAGUCGGAUUAGCUAGUUGGUGAGGUAACGGCUCACCAAGGCGACGAUCCGUAGCUGGUCUGAGAGGACGACCAGCCACACUGGGACUGAGACACGGCCCAGACUCCUACGGGAGCAGCAGUGGGGAAUAUUGGACAAGUGGGGCAACCCUGAUCCAGCGACGCCGCGUGUGUGAAG